CUAUCUCUCUCCCUCUGCCUCUCCCCCAACUCUCUCUCUCUCUCAAAAUAAAGAAAGAAAAUGUUUUAAAAAAAAAAAGACAAAUGAGGAAAGUGUUAGUGGUAACUAGAGAGAAAAUGAUUCAUUAUGUGGUGGCGGAAAGUCUAGCAACACUCUUGCCUGCAAUAAUGUGGAAAAUAGAAAAUGUACUUCAUGAACUGGGUGUCCUGGCUGAAGAGAGAUCCGGGCAGGGUUAAAGGUCUGGCUUCUUCUUCCUGCUUGCAUUACAAUUUGACAGGAGAGGGAUGAGCUCAAGGAAAAAAAAAAAAAGCUAAAUAUAACGGAGGCAGAAUGCACACAGAUUGAAAAUCCCCUGCCUCUCUAGGUGAAAAGCAGCAUUAAAUUAAGAAUGGCUUCCGGACAAAAAUAAAAUUCAGGGAAUAGUCAGAACAACAUGCUGUAAAGAUGAAACUGAGAUUAUGAUGAUAAAGUCCUUUGUUAAGACCUCAGAGAGAUAUAAAGGAAUGCCUUAGAAAACUGUUGUGUCAAAGAAAAACCAAACAAAAACACAGGACUUUUAAGAAUCCUUGGCAAUUUCAACAGAAGCUGAAUGGUUUAUCGUGAAGACCCUUGUGAACGUGGCCUUUUUUUCCCCUACCUGCAUGAACCACAAUAAGAUUCACAAGAGGCUCGCAAAGAUUUUAAGAAAAUCGUACAAGCAGAACCAUCAUCAAUUUGGACUGAAAGAGAUAAAGUACAAAAAAAAAAAAAAAGGUGUUUGGAUCUCCAAACUUACAUAGACCAAGAAAACUACUUGGUUGCAAAUACGGGCUCCCUUUUUACAGAAAAGGAAGGUCUGGAGGGCAGAACCAAAAGCCACAGUGAAGAGCUGCCAGGCUUGAUCGCUGAUGAAGGGACUGACCGCAUGUGGCCUGCCAGAUUUUAGAAUUGCUUUAGACCCGGGUCUCCUGUAUGCCUCUCAUUCUUCCCUUUUUUGAAUGGGAGUGUCCAUAGCAGCUGUCCCAUGCCUGUGCCGAACAGUGGGUGUGGGGGAAGGGUACAGAUAUCUGGGCCCUUUAAUUCCCAGGCUUUCAGGUAGAGAUGAGCUCAGAGAGGAGAGAUGGAGGAAUGAUGUCUAUCUCUCUGGAGACUGUUGUACACCUGCCUUGGUACUUUGCACACUCCAUUCCCUGUACCCAGGCUUGUCUCCCCUUACUUCCCUGCCUGGUUAACUCCUAUUCAUUCUCCGAGAUCCAGUUCAAAAGCCUCCCUGGUUUCAUCAGUAAAGUUAGUGGCUAGGUUUUCUGUCAUUCUACAGGAAUGAUCUUGGCCUUAUCAUCCUGAACCAAAAUGGUUUCGAUACUCUCUGUCUUCCCCACUGGCCCAUGAGUUCAAGAAUGGUAGGGAUGAUGUUUAAUCACUUUCGGUGUUUAUAGAAACUCAUCGCAAAAUUAAUUCAGGUGCUCAGCACGUGUCUGAUGGUCAACAAACAGGAGGCGUAUGUAUUUAAACAGAGAGCAUACUAACUUCGAGGAGAGAAACUGUGUUAAGAAAACUUAACUUGUGUGCUUCAUAACUGAGGCCCAGAGGCAAGGAAGUCUGGUAAGCGUGGAGCUGUGGUCCUGUCCUGGAGGUCAGUGUCUUUGAUUUGGUGUUUGGAAAAUCUGAAUGUACUUGCCAAGAUGGUAAGAGAGUACAGGGAAGACGUAGAUUUGUUUCUUUGGGGGAAGGCUAGAUACCUUGUUCUCCUUGACAUACAAUCAGUGACUUAUAACUGAGUCUUUUCAGCAUUUAGGAACACAUUACAGAGCAUGAAGAGGGAACCAGGGAUUCUGGAGAUGUGAACAUCAAAUUCCCAGAGACCAUCUCAGACCUAAAAUGCUCUGUUUGGAGAAGCCAACUUGGAAACAAACCAAUGUUAAGCUCUAUGCAACAAGAGACUGGCGGUGUCUUCCUCUGUCCCUGCUGUUCUAUUGAGAUAUAACUGACAUACAUCACUGGUUUUCAGAAGGAUGUGAGGACUAAUGGAAUCAAGGAGCCAAAUUGUGAAGUUCAAUGGGAGGAUCCCUUCUCUCUCCAUGCCGCUCUGGCCCAACACAGCCCUGUGUCACAGAGUGAGCCCUCCGUGACAGCUGGCCCAGGGCCAGCCACAAGAUUGGCAAGGAAUGCAUUUGUGUCAGGGGUGCCUGCCCCAAAGAGCCUGCGGGUUGGCAGAGUAAGAGCCUUCUUGUUUCUUCAGUUGCACAGUCUCCUCCAGCAAAUGAAAAGUUCCUCAAAAGCAGAGAGUUUAUCUUUUGCUUCCUGUGUGUCUGGGCAUCAUGGCGCUGACAUACCUCAGCCCACCAUCUGAUUGGUCUCAUUAUGACAUCAAAUCAUGGACUGUGAGAUCUGCCAGCAACAUUGGAGAUCACCUGGUUCAGUUAUCUCAUCUUUUAGAUGUGAAAUCGAGGCCCCAAAAUGGGAUGUGACUUGUUCAGUAUCACCCAGCUAGUUAAGACCAGAGCUUGGAUCAGGCCCUGAGCCUCCUGACUGUUCUAGACUUUAACAUGGCAUCUCAAGCUUCUCUCCCAUAAUGGUAGGAAGCAUGUGCCUCCCAGCCUGUUUCCAGGAUCUCUGGGAACAGCCAGCCACAAGCCAGAAACUGUUUCAAACUGUGUGUGAAUAUUGCCUUCUCAAGUAUGCAAAUUUUGCCUUCUGCUGCGUAAUAUGUACAUGUUUGUUUCAAUAUACACAUGUUAGAAUUAUGUUGUCUAAUAAGGAAAAUUGGUAGUGAAGGUGUAAUAGGAAAGAGCUGUUUAUUCCUUGGCAUAAUGCUGUAAGCCUUGAAGUCCAAACAAAGUUGUAACUUUGGGUUGAGUGCUUCAGGUUUAAGAAUGGUGGACAUCUUUCUGAGUGUAGUUUUCGGCCCCCUGAAGCUAUGUGAAGGAGAACAGAGGAGGUUUAACAAAGCAUGUGAAAACCAAGAUCCUGUAUUUUUAAAAAAUGAAUUAUUCAACAGCUUUUUUUUGAGAUGUAAUUCACAUCCAUAUAAUUCCUCCAUUUAAAGUGCAUAAUUCGGGGUGCCUGGGUUGCUCAUUUCCUUAAGCAUCCGCUUUCAGCUUGGGUCAUGAUCCUGGGGUCCUGGGAUCAAGCCCCACGUUGGGGAGCCUACUUCUCCUUCUCCCUCUGCUCUCUCUC
Ailuropoda melanoleuca (giant panda) is the source of this 3156-nucleotide long non-coding RNA. RefSeq lists it as uncharacterized. Lineage: Eukaryota; Metazoa; Chordata; Mammalia; Carnivora; Ursidae. The record is from RefSeq and is a predicted model, not a curated record. The transcript has 5 exons.